This is a long non-coding RNA of Homo sapiens (human), 908 nucleotides long. RefSeq lists it as uncharacterized. The record is from RefSeq and is a predicted model, not a curated record. The transcript is spliced from 3 exons. Lineage: Eukaryota; Metazoa; Chordata; Mammalia; Primates; Hominidae.
CUUCACACCUGUGAGGCCGAUGCUCAGCAUAUUUCAGAGGAAGCUGGCACCAGGGAUGAGGGAAUCUGCCCAAGCAUGAGUCACCUGGAAUAUUAAACCAGAACCAACACACAAAUGAUCUGUGCAAAGAGGCAGCACCAUUGAAGUGUGUUUGACAGACAGAACUACUGUUUUGAAUCAACCCUCUGAGAUGUCUAAAUCAGCCUGUCAGACUUUGCUCCCUCUAUCACGUUUCCCAAGAAGAGGAUCAGAGAUAAAGAGAAAUAUGGAAAUUUGGAGUAAAAGAAUACUUUCACCACCUUGGACAUUGUCUCCUGCCUUUCUGGACAUCCACACAGCCCUGUGAUAUGCCUUGGAGCUGAGUUUUACCUCUUUGUGUGAUAUUUCUUUCCUGGGAAAGGCUCACACCACCUUGGAGCUUUGCAAUUUCGGCUUGUAGGUCCUCACUUAUAAAUCCAUUCACUCCCAGAGUCUACAUUGAAAUGAUUUCUUUUGCUGUGUCUCCACUGCUGGCUGUAGCCCCUUGAAGGAGGGAGCUGGCUUUACCAUGCCUGGCCUUGCAUAAAGUGCAACCUGAUGCUUAAUACAUACUGACUAGGUAAGCACAACCACUUCCAGAGCUAAUUCCAGCCUUUUCUCCUGCUCCCUGAUAACUCUACCUUCAUACCAGGACAGCAUUCUCAGAAAUCAUUUUAACCACGAAGACUUUUGUUCAAAUGAAACAGAAUAAGUAUAAACUAGAAAAAGUGCAAAUAUAUAGACAACUGUUAUUUUUUCUAAGUAAUCACCCAAACCCUCACCUCAUCUAUUAACCAAAAACUCCAGUGUGUUUCAUAUGAAGCCUCCCUUCCGAAAGAAAAUAAUCACAAACAACAACAACAACAACAACAACAACAACAUAUCUUCUA